UCUAACUCUUCUUCAGAUGUUGCAAAACUCAAGGUUUGUUUAUUGUUUUCAUCUUUAGCACUCGUUACACAUGUUAUUUAAUAGAUUUCUUUAUUGGCAUGCCGAGUUGGAGUCUGGAUGUGUUAGAUUGAAGUUUUUAGACGAAUGAUAAAGAGAAUGCAACAAUUGCCUGCUGGCGAGCUAUCUCGGAGAUGAAGAACGGCCCUUCAAGCUGUUCACUGACUUCAUAGUACGCCGGUAAGCAGUGGUGUAUUUUUUGUAUAAUUCCCAGCCUCUUCUCCUCAGAGUCUAUCUUUGUGCACAAAAACAAGACGAAUAUAAAUACAUGCCACCGUGGGAUGUGAAGACACGGACAUGAUAAUGAGAGACAUAAUGUAGCUGAACAGAAAUUAAUAUAAUUAUAUAUAUCUUGUUCCUUGUCUUCUUUGUCUUUGAAUUGUGACCUUUUGAAGCAUGAUAUACUAGCUUAUUAAAUUGUGCAUGAGAACAGUAUGAUACAGGCUGAAUACAGGCCGUUUGUACGGGCUGUUUACAGGCUGUAUGUGAACGGCCUGUUUAGUAGUGUCUACCCAACGGUCCCGUAUCAGGAUGU
Long non-coding RNA from Halichondria panicea, 592 nucleotides. RefSeq lists it as uncharacterized. The record is from RefSeq and is a predicted model, not a curated record. The transcript is spliced from 4 exons. NCBI's taxonomy places the organism in Eukaryota, Metazoa, Porifera, Demospongiae, Suberitida, Halichondriidae.